This 499-nucleotide ribosomal RNA is filed under the name Libnetis sp. UPOL 001002. Its description in RNAcentral is "partial large subunit ribosomal RNA". The stretch from base 378 to 499 matches the Rfam family "Bacterial large subunit ribosomal RNA", at positions 2473 to 2595 of the family's 2925-position model. Lineage: Eukaryota; Metazoa; Arthropoda; Insecta; Coleoptera; Lycidae. The record is from RNAcentral.
CAUGUCUUUUUGAUUAUAAUUUAAAGUCGGGUCUGCUCAAUGAUUAUUUAAAUUGCCGCAGUAUUAUAACUGUGCAAAGGUAGCAUAAUAAUUAGUUUCUUAAUUAGAAGCUUGAAUGAAGGAUUUGACAAGAGAAUUGCUGUCUCUUUUUUAUUAAAUAGAACUUUAAUUUUAAGUUCAAAUGCUUAAAUUUUUUUAAAAGACGAGAAGACCCUAUAGAGUUUUAUAUUAUAGUUUGUUUUGGCUAUUCGAAAAUAAUAAUUUUUUAUAAUAUUUGAUUGGGGUGAUUAGAAGAUUUAAUUAAUUCUUUUAUGUUUAAAUUGAUGAUUAUUAAACUAUUUAUCUUGUUUUUUAAAGAUUAAAUAAAUUACCUUAGGGAUAACAGCGUAAUUUUUUUAUAAAGUUCUUAUUGAAAAAAAAGUUUGCGACCUCGAUGUUGGAUUAAAAUUAAUUUUUGGCGUAUAAGCUUAAGGAUUAGGUCUGUUCGACCUUUAAAAUU